UACGGAGGGUGCAAGCAUUAAUCGGAUUUAUUGGGCGUAAAGGGCGCGUAGGCGGGGAUAAAAGUCAGAUGUGAAAUCCCGAGGCUCAACCUCGGAACAGCAUUUGAAACUCUAUCUCUUGAGGGUAGGCGGGGAAAACGGAAUUCCACAUGUAGCGGUGAAAUGCGUAGAUAUGUGGAAGAACAUCGGUGGCGAAGGCGGUUUUCUAGCUUAUUCCUGACGCUGAGGCGCGAAAGCAAGGGGAUCAAACAGG
Molecule: ribosomal RNA, 253 nt
Filed under: uncultured bacterium
Lineage: Bacteria
Description: partial 16S ribosomal RNA
Rfam family: Bacterial small subunit ribosomal RNA
Source: RNAcentral